This 459-nucleotide unclassified non-coding RNA is filed under the name Hevea brasiliensis (rubber tree). Lineage: Eukaryota; Viridiplantae; Streptophyta; Magnoliopsida; Malpighiales; Euphorbiaceae. The record is from RNAcentral.
GUGACAACCAGCUGACUACGGAAAACGAGUAUUGAGGCGCCGCAAUGACCCUAUCUCUUCAAAAAUGCAUAUUCUCUCACCUCUACCGUCCGAUCUCUUUCCACGUCAUCCAUCCGCGUGAAUCCACGUUUCAACGGUUCAGAUCAAGUUGCAGAGCUACUGGUACAACGAACGAGGAAGCUCCUCUCUCCUCUCCAAUUGCUGAUUUCAAAUUUUUUUCCUGGAAAAAAAAUAUUUUCCCUAGAAAGUUUGUAUACUUCCCGCUUUAGUUUUUUUAUUUCUUUGAACAUGAAAAUCAUGGAGCAAGAAGGAGAAAUUUUCGAAGAGGAGAAGGAAAUUAGAGUUUUCAGUGCAGAAGAAACAGACGACGACAGUGAACCAAAGGAUGGCGUAGAAGCUGAAGAGGAAGAGGAAGAUGAUGACGAAGACGGAGAGGAAGAAGACGACGACGACGACGAC